ACAUGCAAGUCGAACGAAGACCCGGAGCUUGCUCCGGAAUUCUUAGUGGCGAACGGGUGAGUAACGCGUGGGAAUCUACCUAGAAAUGGGGAAUAACUAUUGGAAACGAUAGCUAAUACCGCAUAAUCCCUUCGGGGCAAAGGCUUCGGCCGUUUUUAGAUGAGCCCGCGUUAGAUUAGGUUGUUGGUGAGGUAAUGGCUCACCAAACCUACAAUCUAUAGCUGGUCUGAGAGGAUGAUCAGCCACACUGGGACUGAGACACGGCCCAGACUCCUACGGGAGGCAGCAGUGGGGAAUAUUGGACAAUGGGGGAAACCCUGAUCCAGCAAUGCCGCGUGAGUGAUGAAGGCCUUAGGGUUGUAAAGCUCUUUCAGAAGUGAAGAUGAUGACGGUAACUUCAGAAGAAGC
This 408-nucleotide ribosomal RNA is filed under the name uncultured Alphaproteobacteria bacterium. Its description in RNAcentral is "bacterial SSU rRNA". It matches the Rfam family "Bacterial small subunit ribosomal RNA", at positions 53 to 491 of the family's 1533-position model. The record is from RNAcentral. Lineage: Bacteria; Pseudomonadati; Pseudomonadota; Alphaproteobacteria.